AUUGAACGCUGGCGGCAGGCCUAACACAUGCAAUUCGAACGAGUGGCGGACGGGUGAGUAAUUUUUGGGAAACUCCCUGAUGGAGGGGGUUAACUACUGGAAACGUUAGCUAAUACCGCAUACCAUCAAAUGUGCCCAUAUGGGAUUAGCUUGUUGGUGGGGUAACGGCUCACCAAGGCGACGAUCCCUAGCGGGUCUGAGAGGAUGACCAGCCACACUGGAACUGAGACACGGUCCAGACUCCUACGGGAGGCAGCAGUGGGGAAUAUUGCACAAUGGGCGCAAGCCUGAUGCAGCCAUGCCGCGUGUAUGAAGAAGGCCUUCGGGUUGUAAAGUACUUUCAGCGGGGAGGCGUUACCCGCAGAAGAAGCACCGGCUAACUCCGUGCCAGCCGCCGCGGUAAUAC
This 406-nucleotide ribosomal RNA is filed under the name uncultured bacterium. Its description in RNAcentral is "partial 16S ribosomal RNA". It matches the Rfam family "Bacterial small subunit ribosomal RNA", at positions 30 to 526 of the family's 1533-position model. The record is from RNAcentral.